This 253-nucleotide ribosomal RNA is filed under the name uncultured bacterium. RNAcentral's name for it is "partial 16S ribosomal RNA". It matches the Rfam family "Bacterial small subunit ribosomal RNA", at positions 524 to 776 of the family's 1533-position model. The record is from RNAcentral.
UACAGAGGUCUCAAGCGUUGUUCGGAUUCAUUGGGCGUAAAGGGUGCGUAGGCGGCGCGGUAAGUCGGGUGUGAAAUCUCGGGGCUUAACUCCGAAACUGCAUUCGAUACUGCCGUGCUUGAGGACUGGAGAGGAGACUGGAAUUUACGGUGUAGCGGUGAAAUGCGCAGAUAUCGGGAGGAACACCGGUGGCGAAGGCGGUUCUCUGGGCCUGACCUGACGCUGAGGCACGAAAGCGUGGGGAGCAAACAGG